UAGGGAAUCUUCCACAAUGGACGAAAGUCUGACGGAGCAACGCCGCGUGAGUGAAGAAGGGUUUCGGCUCGUAAAACUCUGUUGUUAAAGAAGAACAUAUCUGAGAGUAACUGUUCAGGUAUUGACGGUAUUUAACCAGAAAGCCACGGCUAACUACGUGCCAA
This 164-nucleotide ribosomal RNA is filed under the name uncultured bacterium. RNAcentral describes it as "partial 16S ribosomal RNA". It matches the Rfam family "Bacterial small subunit ribosomal RNA", at positions 355 to 511 of the family's 1533-position model. The record is from RNAcentral.